RNAcentral lists this ribosomal RNA (484 nucleotides) under uncultured bacterium. RNAcentral's name for it is "partial 16S ribosomal RNA". It matches the Rfam family "Bacterial small subunit ribosomal RNA", at positions 30 to 507 of the family's 1533-position model. The record is from RNAcentral.
AUUGAACGCUGGCGGCAGGCCUAACACAUGCAAGUCGAGCGGAUGAAGGGAGCUUGCUCCUGGAUUCAGCGGCGGACGGGUGAGUAAUGCCUAGGAAUCUGCCUGGUAGUGGGGGAUAACGUCCGGAAACGGGCGCUAAUACCGCAUACGUCCUGAGGGAGAAAGUGGGGGAUCUUCGGACCUCACGCUAUCAGAUGAGCCUAGGUCGGAUUAGCUAGUUGGUGGGGUAAAGGCCUACCAAGGCGACGAUCCGUAACUGGUCUGAGAGGAUGAUCAGUCACACUGGAACUGAGACACGGUCCAGACUCCUACGGGAGGCAGCAGUGGUGAAUAUUGGACAAUGGUCGAAAGCCUGAUCCAGCCAUGCCGCGUGUGUGAAGAAGGUCUUCGGAUUGUAAAGCACUUUAAGUUGGGAGGAAGGGCAGUAAGUUAAUACCUUGCUGUUUUGACGUUACCAACAGAAUAAGCACCGGCUAACUUCGUG